Molecule: long non-coding RNA, 1250 nt
Organism: Ahaetulla prasina
Lineage: Eukaryota; Metazoa; Chordata; Lepidosauria; Squamata; Colubridae
Exons: 3
Source: RefSeq, a predicted model, not a curated record
GAAAUAGUAUUCGGCAACUUUGCAUGAAAUUUCUAUUUUAAUUAUUUUUGCUAUGCAAAACCACUCAGUGCUUAAAUUGGUUUGAUCUUAAUCACCUCUAAUAAAUAGAUUUAAGGACGAUAUAAAAUGUUAAACAUUGUAAAAUUAUUUUACUUUAUUGAAAUGAAGAGAAGAAUGCAUAAAAAAAAUUUUUUUUAGAUGUCUAUGGUGAUUCUCAAUCAUCCAGGUCAUAGUUGUCCCAAAGUUGUUUUUUCUAAAAGGCGACUGAACUGUUUUUUCCCCCUUUGAAAACGUUUUGUUUCUCAUCCAAGAAGCUUCUUCAGUUCUGUGAAACUUUUUCAAAGAAAAAAAAACCGAAGUCCAGUUGCGUUUUGAAAAACAUCUUUGGGUUAUUUUGUUUAAAAAUAUUAUUAUUAUUUAUUUUUCCUUUAACUUUUACCUAUAUGUAUUUGUAUUUGUAGCAUGCACAUAAAACCAGUUAGAAUUGUCUCCCCAGAGUAUGUGACAACACUCAUUGAAAAUGAUUAGCAUGAAGAUCAGAACACUAGCCUGAAGUGAUUUUUACAGAUAGCAUAUGAUUUGGCAAAGAACAACACUCAGUUCUAUCGGAUAAAGCUGUUUGUGAAGUAUCCAGUUGAUUAUACGGCAAAUCAGAAUAUAAGGCUAGUAGAUGGUAUUACAGGUGGAGACUUAAAGGACCAGAGAAACUGUAAGAAGGACGAUGAAGAGAGAACUACAAUGGUACUGUAAAGGCUAGCAGGUAAGAUAGAUCUAGAUUCUAGACAAAUCCAGUUGCUGAAGAUUGUUAGCAUGCUAGCAUACAGGCCAGUAAUCCUAAAAUGGACUAGGCCGCGCAUUAUAUAUAUUUUUCCUGGGAUGGUGGCAAUUAUCUGAAACAGAUGAGGACCCAGUGCAGAAAAGUAUGUCUCAGAUAAAAAGGAGAAUGCAGGAAGAGACCAAGUGUAUCCUUUGCUGAUGAUCUGUCAGGGACUAAAGAUGACAGAAAAGGUGAGAUUUUCAGACAGACUAAAGGAAAUGUUGGCUAGAGGGGACACAUACAGUAAGCUAAAAUAUGUCUAAAAUAUGAACCCACAGGAAGCCCUUGUACAUGAGGAUGAAAAUAAUAUUUUAUUUUCAAUGGAAACAGGGUUUUCAUACUUCCUAUAUUUACUGGCAGAAAGGAAAUCCUAUAUUGUUGUGGUCACAUGGCUUUCUCAAAAGUUUCCUUAUAGUUUGUACCCACUAUUCAA